UACGGAGGGUGCAAGCGUUAUCCGGAUUUACUGGGUUUAAAGGGUGCGUAGGUGGGUUGGUAAGUCAGUGGUGAAAUCUCCGGGCUUAACUCGGAAACUGCCAUUGAUACUAUCAAUCUUGAAUUAUCUGGAGGUAAGCGGAAUAUGUCAUGUAGCGGUGAAAUGCUUAGAUAUGACAUAGAACACCCAUUGCGAAGGCAGCUUACUACGGAUACAUUGACACUGAUG
Molecule: ribosomal RNA, 228 nt
Filed under: uncultured prokaryote
Description: partial 16S ribosomal RNA
Rfam family: Bacterial small subunit ribosomal RNA
Source: RNAcentral